UACAGUCCGGGACAUUUCUAUUUGGACAUAAAAAAUUUGAAUUUUCUGACAUUUAUACGUAUAUUCAGCGUCUAUGUGAACAAAAAAUGUUCUCUCUCUCAUUCUAUGGUCCUUGAGCUUUAAUAACAGGGACAUUUUUGAAAUUGGUAGGAUUAGAAAAUGACAGUAAACAGCUGACUGAUGUAAACAAUAACAAAGGAAAUGUUAUAAUUUUAAUCUAUAUAACCCGUGGCUGCUUUAAAAGUGUGUACUAACGGGAUAAUAAAAUAUUUACGCAAGUAUUUUUGAAGGUAGAAACAUUACUUGUCAUAUAACAAUUAUAGAUUAUAUGAUGAGACGGGAAUGGCACAACACAGAAUUGCAGUCAGUGAUUGUGCUGGAGAAAGCUGCUGUGACGUACUGACAGUACUGACUAUCGCUGGUUGUACGAUUUGUGCACUUUGUGAUAUAUUUUGUGUGAAAAACUGGAAAACAAAGUGCAUACCUGCAUAACCUCACUUAUCGCAGUUUUGCACAUUUUGAUGAUGGGAAUUGCGGUUCAAGUAAUUAUGAGUUAUAGAUGGAGCUCACUGUUUACUUCAAACUGAAGCCUUUUGGGUCCACUUUUUUCGUUGUUAUUUCCUGGUAGCGACUAUUGUUUCAAGCAGAAUGGGUGUAAAGUUAAAAAUAAUCCCAUAAAAUUGUUAAUAUAACUCCGUUGCACUGGCAUGGGGUAUUUGAAAACUUACGUUUAACAAAUACGUCACAAAGUCUCAUCCAUCGUUGAAAAACAUAAUAAGGGCUUUAUAACAACAAGCGCUUUCUGAUUUUACUGUGGACGUGUGGAAGAAUAGUGUGAAAUAUUGCGAAAAACCAACUUUUACUCUUGUUUACAUUUUUGUACGUCUCUAUCUGAGAGUAGUCGUCUUUUAUAAAAAAUAUAGCCUACUAAUAAAGGAAAUUAGAGUGUUUU
Molecule: long non-coding RNA, 952 nt
Organism: Tribolium castaneum (red flour beetle)
Lineage: Eukaryota; Metazoa; Arthropoda; Insecta; Coleoptera; Tenebrionidae
Exons: 2
Source: RefSeq, a predicted model, not a curated record